This 497-nucleotide ribosomal RNA is filed under the name uncultured bacterium. RNAcentral describes it as "partial 16S ribosomal RNA". It matches the Rfam family "Bacterial small subunit ribosomal RNA", at positions 28 to 507 of the family's 1533-position model. The record is from RNAcentral.
GAUGAACGCUGGCGGCGUGCCUAAUACAUGCAAGUCGAGCGAACAGACGAGGAGCUUGCUCCUUCGACGUUAGCGGCGGACGGGUGAGUAACACGUAGGUAACCUACCUAUAAGACUGGGAUAACUUCGGGAAACCGGAGCUAAUACCGGAUAAUAUUUCGAACCGCAUGGUUCGAUAGUGAAGGAUGGCUUUGCUAUCACUUAUAGAUGGACCUGCGCCGUAUUAGCUAGUUGGUAAGGUAACGGCUUACCAAGGCAACGAUACGUAGCCGACCUGAGAGGGUGAUCGGCCACACUGGAACUGAGACACGGUCCAGACUCCUACGGGAGGCAGCAGUAGGGUAUCUUCCGCAAUGGGCGAAAGCCUGACGGAGCAACGCCGCGUGAGUGAUGAAGGUCUUCGGAUCGUAAAACUCUGUUAUUAGGGAAGAACAAACGUGUAAGUAACUGUGCACGUCUUGACGGUACCUAAUCAGAAAGCCACGGCUAACUACGUG